GCCAGCAGCCAUGUCACCCUGCAACUUACAAUUGGCAACCUAUUGAAGCUAAGCAGAUGUGAGCCUGGUCAGUGAACCUGGAUGGGAGACCUCCUGGGAAAAACUAAGGUAGCUGCUGGAA
This 121-nucleotide ribosomal RNA is filed under the name Lepisosteus oculatus (spotted gar). The record is from RNAcentral. Lineage: Eukaryota; Metazoa; Chordata; Actinopteri; Semionotiformes; Lepisosteidae.